GCGUCGUCUUCAGAGUUUGAUCCUGGCUCAGGAUGAACGCUAGCUACAGGCUUAACACAUGCAAGUCGAGGGGCAGCAUGAAUAUUGGCUUGCCAAUAUUUGAUGGCGACCGGCGCACGGGCGAGUAACACGUAUCCAACCUUCCGGUUACUCGGGGAUAGGCUUUCGAAAGAAAGAUUAAUACCCGAUGUUGCGUAUCUUUCUCCUGAAAGAUACGCCAAAGGAUUCCGCUAAGAGAUAGGCAUGCGUUCCAUUAGUUAGUUGGUGAGGUAACGGCUCACCAAGGCAUCGAUGGAUAGGGGAGCUGAGAGGCUUAUCCCCCACAUUGGGACUGAGACACGGCCCAA
Molecule: ribosomal RNA, 347 nt
Filed under: uncultured bacterium
Lineage: Bacteria
Description: bacterial SSU rRNA
Rfam family: Bacterial small subunit ribosomal RNA
Source: RNAcentral